UCCCAAGUGCUCCAGUGCUUAGGACUCCACACUUCCACUGUAGAGGGCACAGGUUCAAUCCCUGCUUGGGGAA
Molecule: transfer RNA, 73 nt
Filed under: Bos taurus (domestic cattle)
Lineage: Eukaryota; Metazoa; Chordata; Mammalia; Artiodactyla; Bovidae
Also listed under: 4 other names
Rfam family: tRNA
About the family: Transfer RNA (tRNA) molecules are approximately 80 nucleotides in length.
Source: Rfam by way of RNAcentral